RNAcentral lists this ribosomal RNA (434 nucleotides) under uncultured Lachnospiraceae bacterium. RNAcentral describes it as "partial 16S ribosomal RNA". It matches the Rfam family "Bacterial small subunit ribosomal RNA", at positions 341 to 792 of the family's 1533-position model. The record is from RNAcentral. Lineage: Bacteria; Bacillati; Bacillota; Clostridia; Lachnospirales; Lachnospiraceae.
ACGGAAGGCAGCAGUGGGGAAUAUUGCACAAUGGGGGAAACCCUGAUGCAGCGACGCCGCGUGAGUGAAGAAGUAUUUCGGUAUGUAAAGCUCUAUCAGCAGGAAAGAAAAUGACGGUACCUGACUAAGAAGCCCCGGCUAACUACGUGCCAGCAGCCGCGGUAAUCCGUAGGGGGCAAGCGUUAUCCGGAUUUACUGGGUGUAAAGGGAGCGUAGACGGCUUUGCAAGUCUGAAGUGAAAGCCCGGGGCUCAACCCCGGAACUGCUUUGGAAACUGUAGAGCUAGAGUGCAGGAGAGGUAAGUGGAAUUCCUAGUGUAGCGGUGAAAUGCGUAGAUAUUAGGAGGAACACCAGUGGCGAAGGCGGCUUACUGGACUGUAACUGACGUUGAGGCUCGAAGGCGUGGGGAGCAAACAGGAUUAGAUACCCUGGUA